This 915-nucleotide ribosomal RNA is filed under the name Placidium pilosellum. RNAcentral's name for it is "partial large subunit ribosomal RNA". It matches the Rfam family "Eukaryotic large subunit ribosomal RNA", at positions 291 to 1209 of the family's 3401-position model. The record is from RNAcentral. Lineage: Eukaryota; Fungi; Ascomycota; Eurotiomycetes; Verrucariales; Verrucariaceae.
AGCGGGUGGUAANUUUCAUCUAANGCUAANUAUGGGCCCGAGACCGAUAGCGCACAAGUAGAGUGAUCGAAAGAUGAAAAGCACUUUGAAAAGAGAGUUAAACAGUACGUGAAAUUGUUGAAAGGGAAGCGCUGGUCCCCAGACGUGGGCGCGAUCGGUUCCCCCGGUCCUCNNNNNGGAGCGGGCUACUCCAUCGCGCCCAGGCCCACAUCGGUUGGGGUGGUCGGUGAAAGGUCCCGGGAAUGUAUCGACUCUCCGGGGUCGACUUAUAGCCCGGGGCGUCAUGCGACCCACCCCGACCGAGGAACGCGCUCCGGCUCGGAUGUGGGCGUAAUGGGGAUCAGCGGCCCGUCUUGAAACACGGACCAAGGAGUCGAACCGCCGUGCGAGUGUUUGGGUGUCAAGCCCCGACGCGGAAUGAAAGUGAACGGAGGUCAGAACCCCAUCCNNNNNCGGGGCGCAUGAUCGACCGAUCCGGAUGUCUUCGGAUGGAUUUGAGUAUGAGCACGGCGGGUCGGACCCGAAAGAUGGUGAACUAUGCCUGGAUAGGGUGAAGCCAGAGGAAACUCUGGUGGAGGCUCGCAGCGGUUCUGACGUGCAAAUCGAUCGUCAAAUCUGGGUAUAGGGGCGAAAGACCAAUCGAACCAUCUGGUAGCUGGUUCCUGCCGAAGUUUCCCUCAGGAUAGCAGUAACGNGCGUCAGUUUUAUGAGGUAAAGCGAAUGAUUAGCGGCCUGGGGGNGGNNNNNNNNNNAACCCUAUUCUCAAACUUUAAAUANGNAAGANGNCUNGGUUGCUUAAUUGAACCCAGGCACUCNAAUGGGANGCUCCAAGUGGGCCAUUUUUGGUAAGCAGAACUGGCGAUGCGGGAUGAACCGAAAGUCGACUUAAGGUGCCCAAAUGCGCGCUAACCUAGA